RNAcentral lists this ribosomal RNA (253 nucleotides) under uncultured bacterium. RNAcentral's name for it is "partial 16S ribosomal RNA". It matches the Rfam family "Bacterial small subunit ribosomal RNA", at positions 524 to 776 of the family's 1533-position model. The record is from RNAcentral.
UACGUAGGGGGCAAGCGUUGUCCGGAUUUACUGGGUGUAAAGGGUGCUCAGGUGGUCUUGCAAGUCAGAGGUGAAAGCCCAGGGCUUAACUCUGGAACUGCCUUUGAUACUGCAAGGCUUGAGUACGGAAGAGGUUGAUGGAAUUUCUGGUGUAGCAGUGAAAUGCGUAGAUAUCAGAAAGAACACCAGUGGCGAAGGCGGUCAACUGGUCCGUUACUGACACUAAAGCACGAAAGCGUGGGGAGCAAACAGG